AUCUUUGGGGUUACCGAUUACUUCACGAAAAGGGUGAAAGUUGUUUCAUAUGCCAAUGUUACUAAGUCGACAGUCAUCAAAUCCAGAAAAAAAAAGGUGCCAACAAAGAAUGCCAGAAAGGAUUAUGUCUAACACAACUGCACAAUGUCAAAAGUUUGCAGUCUGUUCAAAGAUUAGGCACCAUAUUGCAGUGCAGCAAAAAAAGAGAAAGAGAGAAAAAAACAACAAAAACAACAAACUAAGGAUCAUGGGGAAGAUGAGCGAGACUUGUAAAGAUCGGCAUAAGAAGUCACCAUUUACCCUCUAUGUUUAUCGA
This 316-nucleotide long non-coding RNA is filed under the name Gossypium barbadense (sea-island cotton). RNAcentral's name for it is "long non-coding RNA (GBAR_LNC004669)". The record is from RNAcentral. Lineage: Eukaryota; Viridiplantae; Streptophyta; Magnoliopsida; Malvales; Malvaceae.